Non-coding RNA from Anas platyrhynchos (mallard), 420 nucleotides. NCBI's taxonomy places the organism in Eukaryota, Metazoa, Chordata, Aves, Anseriformes, Anatidae. The record is from RefSeq and is a predicted model, not a curated record.
CAUUUGGGGGAGCUUUCAGAACAGAGAAGAUUUAAGUGGGAUUGUUUCCCCGCUCCUAAGCUUUGAAUAAGCCUUGUAACAUGGGUGUGCUUUCGUUGCUGUUGUGAGAAAUUAAUGGCUGAUGCUUACCUGCUUCAUAAAUAAGAAGGCAGAUGAAGUUUUCCGUGUUCAGCUCAGGUGCAUCUUUUUAUCCCAGAUAGCUUGCGGCAUGACAGGAUUUGAGCGACAGACGUCCAACCUGGAACAGUGCUAUGCAUAUUUAUGUUUGUUUACAGAGCCUCAUCACUCCUGAAAGAUGUAAAUUUUAAAUGUGCUUUUAUUGGGAGAAGGAACUGUGAGGAAAAGGUUGUUACCUUGGAAUGCAAAGUCAAAGUUAUUGUAAGGCUCUGCCUUUCAUAAAAAUUUUACCAAGUUUUUAAA